GACGAACGCUGGCGGCGUGCCUAAUACAUGCAAGUUGAGCGCUGAAGGUUGGUACUUGUACCAACUGGAUGAGCAGCGAACGGGUGAGUAACGCGUGGGGAAUCUGCCUUUGAGCGGGGGACAACAUUUGGAAACGAAUGCUAAUACCGCAUAAAAACUUUAAACACAAGUUUUAAGUUUGAAAGAUGCAAUUGCAUCACUCAAAGAUGAUCCCGCGUUGUAUUAGCUAGUUGGUGAGGUAAAGGCUCACCAAGGCGAUGAUACAUAGCCGACCUGAGAGGGUGAUCGGCCACAUUGGGACUGGGACACGGCCCAAACUCCUACGGGAGGCAGCAGUAAGGAAUCUUCGGCAAUGGACGAAAGUCUGACCGAGCAACGCCGCGUGAGUGAAGAAGGUUUUCGGGUCGUAAAACUCUGUUUGUAGAGAAGAACGUUAGUGGGAGUGGAAAGCUCAUCAAGUGACGGUAACUACCCAGAAAGGGACGGCUAACUACGUG
This 497-nucleotide ribosomal RNA is filed under the name uncultured bacterium. RNAcentral's name for it is "partial 16S ribosomal RNA". It matches the Rfam family "Bacterial small subunit ribosomal RNA", at positions 28 to 507 of the family's 1533-position model. The record is from RNAcentral.